AUACGGAGGAUCCGAGCGUUAUCCGGAAUGAUUGGGCGUAAAGGGCGCGUAGACGGCCCGGUAAGUCUGGAGUGAAAGUCCUGCUUUUAAGGUGGGAAUUGCUUUGGAUACUGUCGGGCUUGAGUGCAGGAGAGGUAAGUGGAAUUCCCAGUGUAGCGGUGAAAUGCGUAGAGAUUGGGAGGAACACCAGUGGCGAAGGCGACUUACUGGACUGUAACUGUCGCUGAGGCGCGAAAGUGUGGGGAGCAAACAGGAUUAGAUACCCUGGUAGUCCACACUGUAAACGAUGAAUGCUAGGUGUAGGGGGUAUCGACCCCAUCUGUGCCGCAGUUAACACAAUAAGCAUUCCGCCUGGGGAGUACGGCCGCAAGGUUGAAACUUAAAGGAAUUGGCGGGG
This 397-nucleotide ribosomal RNA is filed under the name uncultured bacterium. RNAcentral's name for it is "partial 16S ribosomal RNA". It matches the Rfam family "Bacterial small subunit ribosomal RNA", at positions 523 to 918 of the family's 1533-position model. The record is from RNAcentral.